AUUGAACGCUGGCGGCAGGCUUAACACAUGCAAGUCGAGCGGGGUGAUGGUGCUUGCACUAUCACUUAGCGGCGGACGGGUGAGUAAUGCUUAGGAAUCUGCCUAUUAGUGGGGGACAACAUCUCGAAAGGGAUGCUAAUACCGCAUACGUCCUACGGGAGAAAGCAGGAGAUCACUUGUGACCUUGCGCUAAUAGAUGAGCCUAAGUCGGAUUAGCUAGUUGGUGGGGUAAAGGCCUACCAAGGCGACGAUCUGUAGCGGGUCUGAGAGGAUGAUCCGCCCCACUGGGACUGGGAACCGUCCCAGACACCUACGGGAGGCAGCAGUGGGGAAUAUUGGACAAUGGGGGGAACCCUGAUCCAGCCAUGCCGCGUGUGUGAAGAAGGCCUUAUGGUUGUAAAGCACUUUAAGCGAGGAGGAGGCUCUUUUGGUUAAUACCCAAGAUGAGUGGACGUUACUCGCAGAAUAAGCACCGGCUAACUCUGUGCCAGCAGCCGCGGUAA
This 503-nucleotide ribosomal RNA is filed under the name uncultured bacterium. RNAcentral describes it as "partial 16S ribosomal RNA". It matches the Rfam family "Bacterial small subunit ribosomal RNA", at positions 30 to 523 of the family's 1533-position model. The record is from RNAcentral.